ACUCCKACGGGAGGCAGCAGUGAGGAAUAUUGCACAAUGGGCGAAAGCCUGAUGCAGCAACGCCGCGUGGAGGAUGACGCAUUUCGGUGUGUAAACUCCUUUUAUUAGGGAAGAUAAUGACGGUACCUAAUGAAUAAGCACCGGCUAACUCCGUGCCAGCAGCCGCGGUAAUACSGAGGGUGCAAGCGUUACUCGGAAUCACUGGGCGUAAAGGACGCGUAGGCGGGUUGUCAAGUCMGAUGUGAAAUCCUACAGCUSAACUGUAGAACUGCAUUUGAAACUGGCAACCUAGAGUAUGGGAGGGGGAGAUGGAAUUAGUGGUGUAGGGGUAAAAUCCGUAGAUAUCACUAGGAAUACCGAAAGCGAAGGCGAUCUCCUGGAACAUAACUGACGCUWAGGCSUGAAAGCGUGGGGAGCAAACAGGAUUAGAUACCCUGGUAGUCCACGCCCUAAACGAUGUUCASUAGUCGUCGGAAAGCUUGUCUUUUCGGUGAUGCACUUAACAGAUKAAGUGAACCGCCYGGGGAGUACGGUCGCAAGAUUAAAACUCAAAGGAAUUGACGG
This 564-nucleotide ribosomal RNA is filed under the name uncultured Helicobacteraceae bacterium. RNAcentral's name for it is "bacterial SSU rRNA". It matches the Rfam family "Bacterial small subunit ribosomal RNA", at positions 335 to 916 of the family's 1533-position model. Lineage: Bacteria; Pseudomonadati; Campylobacterota; Epsilonproteobacteria; Campylobacterales; Helicobacteraceae. The record is from RNAcentral.